RNAcentral lists this ribosomal RNA (375 nucleotides) under uncultured bacterium. Its description in RNAcentral is "bacterial SSU rRNA". It matches the Rfam family "Bacterial small subunit ribosomal RNA", at positions 521 to 896 of the family's 1533-position model. The record is from RNAcentral.
UAAUACAGGGGGUGCGAGCGUUAAUCGGAGUUACUGGGUGUAAAGGGCGCGUAGGCGGUGAGAUGUGUGUGAUGUGAAAGCCCCGGGCUUAACCUGGGAAGUGCAUUGCAAACUAUCUGACUAGAGUAUAUGAGAGGGUGGCGGAAUUUCCGGUGUAGCGGUGAAAUGCGUAGAGAUCGGAAGGAACGUCAAUGGCGAAGGCAGCCACCUGGCAUGAUACUGACGCUGAGGCGCGAAAGCGUGGGGAGCGAACAGGAUUAGAUACCCUGGUAGUCCACGCCGUAAACGAUGAGGACUGGAUGUUGGCAGGGGAACCUGUCAGUAUCGAAGCUAACGCGAUAAGUCUUCCACCUGGGAAGUACGGCCGCAAGGUUG